GACGAACGCUGGCGGCGUGCUUAACACAUGCAAGUCGAACGGAAAGGCCCUGCUUUUGUGGGGUGCUCGAGUGGCGAACGGGUGAGUAACACGUGAGUAACCUGCCCUUGACUUUGGGAUAACUUCAGGAAACUGGGGCUAAUACCGGAUAGGAGCUCCUGCUGCAUGGUGGGGGUUGGAAAGUUUCGGCGGUUGGGGAUGGACUCGCGGCUUAUCAGCUUGUUGGUGGGGUAGUGGCUUACCAAGGCUUUGACGGGUAGCCGGCCUGAGAGGGUGACCGGCCACAUUGGGACUGAGAUACGGCCCAGACUCCUACGGGAGGCAGCAGUGCGGAAUAUUGCACAAUGGGCGGAAGGCUGAUGCAGCAACGCCGCGUGCGGGAUGACGGCCUUCGGGUUGUAGACCGCUUUCGCCUGUGACGAAGCGUGAGUGACGGUAAUGGGUAAAGAAGCACCGGCUAACUACGUG
Molecule: ribosomal RNA, 468 nt
Filed under: uncultured bacterium
Lineage: Bacteria
Description: partial 16S ribosomal RNA
Rfam family: Bacterial small subunit ribosomal RNA
Source: RNAcentral